RNAcentral lists this ribosomal RNA (444 nucleotides) under uncultured bacterium. RNAcentral describes it as "partial 16S ribosomal RNA". It matches the Rfam family "Bacterial small subunit ribosomal RNA", at positions 338 to 795 of the family's 1533-position model. The record is from RNAcentral.
ACUACGGGUGGCAGCAGUGGGGAAUAUUGGGCAAUGGAGGAAACUCUGACCCAGCAAUGCCGCGUGAAUGAAGAAGGUCUUCGGAUUGUAAAGUUCUUUAGUCAGGGAAGAAGUCAAUGACGGUACCUGAAGAAUAAGCUCCGGCUAACUACGUGCCAGCAGCCGCGGGAAUACGUAGGGAGCAAGCGUUGUUCGGAAUGACUGGGCGUAAAGGGUGCGUAGGCGGUUGUACAAGUUAGAAGUGAAAUACCCAGGGCUUAACUCGGGUGCUGCUUCUAAAACUGUAUGACUUGAGUGCAGUAGUGGUUAGUCGAAUUCCUAGUGUCGCCGUGGAAUGCGUAGAUAUUAGGAGGAACACCAGCGGCGAAGGCGGCUAACUGGACUGCACCUGACGCUGAGGCACGAAAGUGUGGGGAGCAAACAGGAUUAGAUACCCCUGUAGUC